AAGACCUUGCGCUUUUGGAGCGGCCGAUGCCUGAUUAGCUUGUUGGUAAGGUAAAAGCUUACCAAGGCUUCGAUCAGUAGCCGGUCUGAGAGGACGACCAGCCACACUGGGACUGAGACACGGCCCAGACUCCUACGGGAGGCAGCAGUGGGGAAUUUUGGACAAUGGGGGCAACCCUGAUCCAGCCAUGCCGCGUGAGUGAAGAAGGCCUUCGGGUUGUAAAGCUCUUUCAGCCGGAACGAAACGGUUACGGUUAAUACCCAUGACUACUGACGGUACCGGAAGAAGAAGCACCGGCUAACUACGUGCCAGCAGCCGCGGUAAUACGUAGGGUGCGAGCGUUAAUCGGAAUUACUGGGCGUAAAGCGUGCGCAGGUGGUUUUGUAAGUCAGAUGUGAAAGCCCCGGGCUCAACCUGGGAACU
This 423-nucleotide ribosomal RNA is filed under the name uncultured bacterium. RNAcentral's name for it is "bacterial SSU rRNA". It matches the Rfam family "Bacterial small subunit ribosomal RNA", at positions 207 to 622 of the family's 1533-position model. The record is from RNAcentral.